Molecule: transfer RNA, 28 nt
Filed under: Tragelaphus spekii (Sitatunga)
Lineage: Eukaryota; Metazoa; Chordata; Mammalia; Artiodactyla; Bovidae
Description: partial tRNA-Pro
Source: RNAcentral
GCUGAAGUUCUAUUUAAACUAUUCCUUG